This 433-nucleotide long non-coding RNA is filed under the name Chinchilla lanigera (long-tailed chinchilla). Its description in RNAcentral is "lncRNA (ENSCLAG00000026832.1)". Lineage: Eukaryota; Metazoa; Chordata; Mammalia; Rodentia; Chinchillidae. The record is from RNAcentral.
AGACUGCUGCUGUUAUCCUAGGGUCCUCCCUCAUGCCUGGCUGGGGUCAGCGCCCCUGGACAUGUGACAGAGAUGGACGCCCUCAGCUCUAUGCCUGUGACAUCUGCCCACCUGCUGUGUGUGACAGACUGCACCAGACUUCAUGUAUGCCUCCUGCAGUGAGCGUAAAUGCAGGUUUCCUAUUUCCUGCUUUGGUCCUCUACAGCUAAGGUGUGUGGACACUUCCCCGCGUGCUGUCUCCAGCCAGCUGACUGCCCUGGAAGAGGAGACGCAGGUUCCCGCUGCCCUGGAAUCAGGUUGCUCUGGACCUUCUGUGAACAGUACGUCUGCUUAUGUGUGUGCCCGGCGCUCCCUGCACCCCUGAAGUGAUCCCUCCUGCAAGGGGAAUUUGGUAAGCUCUGACCUGGCCAGGAGGCAUGAGGAAAACACAGAG